This is a small RNA of Jannaschia aquimarina, 52 nucleotides long. It matches the Rfam family "ffh sRNA". The record is from Rfam. NCBI's taxonomy places the organism in Bacteria, Pseudomonadati, Pseudomonadota, Alphaproteobacteria, Rhodobacterales, Roseobacteraceae.
CCUUUCGGGGAUCGCCCUCCGCCAGCGUUGUACGCCCGCGGGGGCGUUUGCG